CCGCUAUUGGAGUCCGAUUAAGACAUGCGAGUCGAGAGCUUUCGGAGCUCGGCAUACUGCUCAGUAACACGUGGGUAACCUGCCCUGUGCUGGGGGAUAACCUCGGGAAACUGAGAACAAUACCCCAUAGUCCACUACGCCUGGAACGGUGAGUGGAUGAAAGCCCCGGCGGCACAGGAUGGGCCUGCGGCGUAUCAGGUAGUAGGGGGUGUAAAGUACCCUCUAGCCUUCGACGCGUACGGGUUGUGAGAGCAAUAGCCCGGAGAUGGAUUCUGAGACACGAAUCCAGGUCCUACGGGACGCAGCAGUCGCGAAACCUUGACAAUGCGGGAAACCGUGAUCARGGGACUCCAAGUGCCAGGAGUAAGAUCCUGUGCUUUUCUUUUCUCUUCAAAGGAUUUGGAAUAAGAGGUGGGUAAGGACGGUGCCAGCCGCCGCGGUAAUACCGGCGCCUCGAGUGGUAGUCGAUUUUAUUGGGCCUAAAACGUCCCGUCGCCGGUCUGGUGCAUUCGUGGGUAAAUCAACCCGCUCAACGGGUUGAAUUCUGCGAGCACGGCCAGACUAGGGACCGGGAGAGGUGUGGGGUACGCUCGGGGUAGGGGUAAAAUCCUGUCAUCCCGAGCGGACCACCUGUUGCGAAGGCUCCACACUAGAACGGAUCCGACGGUCAGGGACGAAGCCUAGGGGCACGAACCGGAUUAGAUGCCCGGGUAGUCCUAGGUGUAAACGCUGUGGACUUGGUGUUGGGAGCUCCCAGAGGGCUCUCAGUGCCGUAGCGAAGGUGAUAAGUCCACUGCCUGGGGAGUACGGUCGCAAGGCUGAAACUUAAAGGAAUUGGCGGGGGAACACCGCAACCUGAGGAUUGUGCGG
This 870-nucleotide ribosomal RNA is filed under the name uncultured archaeon. Its description in RNAcentral is "bacterial SSU rRNA". It matches the Rfam family "Archaeal small subunit ribosomal RNA", at positions 27 to 900 of the family's 1478-position model. The record is from RNAcentral.